GGCUCUUUCUUGGGGUUUGGGGGUUUGUUGCAGUUCUCAAAGCGACGGCAGGGGCUUCGUGUGAGCGCGAGCUCGUGCCUCGUUAUCCUUUCAUCCCGUUACUGCUGGCUGAGGAGGGAGGGCCAAGGGUGUCUUUCAUGGAUUUAGUUUUUAAGAGAUGCUUUUGCUGCCCGACAGGUUUAAUUAAUAGGAUAAAUCUUUCAUUUAUUGUUCUUUUCAAAGUGCCGUUUCAGCACUGGGAAUGUAACGCGCUCGUCAUGGCAGAGCCGGUGCCGGCGGCGGCUGAGCAGCCCUGGAGCUGGGGAAAAAGGAGGAGAGCGCGGCUGGAAACUGGGCGCUGCUGCAGCGAAAGACGCUUUGGUGCUCAUCUGCUUCCAAGAGCGAAGGUUCGGACUCACCAUCACCGCGCCGGCUCCCACUGCCGAUAACGACCGGGAAAGACCCGAUACCCAACGGAUCGGUAAGACCUCUUGCUUUCCCAUUUAACUAAUCGUUUUAAAACCUGCUUUAUUUUUGUUUGCCUUAGUUUCCUCGCUGCUCCGUUUCCCCAGCGCCCGCCGCCUCCCUCCUGCCAGCACUCUUCCCCCGCCGCGGUGGCUCGGAGAGACGGCGUGGGUGUGCGCUCAAUGAGCGCCGAGCGCCCGUUUCCUCUGCGGGAGCGCCGGAGGUGACAGCAGUGUGUCAUCAGCCACCCUAUUCCUGGGAGCAGGAGCUCGGGCUCUUCUCCCAACGCUGGAUUUCAUUCUCUCGCAGGCGACGGGUGGCUGGAGGAUGCGAUUUUCCCCUGUAUCCUCCUCCGCUCGCUGCUCCGGGACCAGGAUGGGAUCGGGCACCGCCGGGGUUGUGCGAGGACUUUGCUUGCGUCCUGCCAGGCAGAGCCUGAGCCCACGGAGCUGAUGGGAUAGGAGGGAGAAGCCCAUCCAGCCGCGGGCUCGUGAUGGCCGCGGGUUAUCAGCGUUCCCGGAUAACGGAGGAGCUGCGCUGCCUCCGCCACGAAUCCACGGGAUCAUUUUGCUCAGGUUUGGCACCGGCAUGACGGGAGCAGAUGGCAGGGAUGGAGGAGCGCACGGCGCUGACGGCACCCGGAUCGCUGCGCCCCCCUGGUCCCCAUCCCCAACACCCCCGGGAUCCACGGAUGCGGCCUCGGCAGGGAUGCUGGUGCCAUGGGGGGCAGCCGGUGCCGGGGGGGCUGUCUGUCUGUCUGUCCAGGCCUUGGGCUGGUUCCCCAUCCAGGGGUGCAGGGCUCUAUCCCAAGGGAUGCAGGAAUCUCUCCCCCAUCCCAAAGGAUGCAAGGGUCUGUCCCCCAUUCCAAGGGAUGCAGGGCUCUGUGCCUCCAUUCCAAGGGGUGCAGAGGUCUGUCCCUCAUCCCAAGG
Cuculus canorus (common cuckoo) is the source of this 1373-nucleotide long non-coding RNA. RefSeq lists it as uncharacterized. The transcript is spliced from 5 exons. Lineage: Eukaryota; Metazoa; Chordata; Aves; Cuculiformes; Cuculidae. The record is from RefSeq and is a predicted model, not a curated record.